UGAAAUGCCGUGACGGGGAAUAGUACAUGAACAUUUCCUUCAGAGAGGAAAACGAACGCUGAGAGUUUUCCAGGAACCCUGUUGAUGGAAGUCGCCCUUGAUGCAGCUUCUUUGAAUAUGAGUAGGAGAAGCCGGUUAGAAGCCGUUAUUUUAGUCGAGUGUACAGGAGGAGUAUAUCCUGUAAAUUAAGGUGGUACCACGGAAAUCAAUCCCUUUCGUCCUUUAU
RNAcentral lists this non-coding RNA (226 nucleotides) under Halobacillus sp. Its description in RNAcentral is "T-box sequence". It matches the Rfam family "T-box leader". Rfam says of the family: Uncharged tRNA acts as the effector for transcription antitermination of genes in the T-box leader family. T-boxes are found upstream of many aminoacyl-tRNA synthetase genes and some amino acid biosynthetic genes usually in Gram-positive bacteria. Lineage: Bacteria; Bacillati; Bacillota; Bacilli; Caryophanales; Bacillaceae. The record is from RNAcentral.